GUGCCAGCAGCCGCGGUAAUUCCAGCUCCAAUAGCGUAUAUUAAACUUGUUGCAGUUAAAAAGCUCGUAGUUGAACUUCGGCCUUGCGCGUCCUGCGGGUCUGCGCGCGGCCUUUGCGUUACUUUGAGAAAAUUAGAGUGUUUCAAGCAGGCUUUCGCCGUGAAUACUUGAGCAUGGAAUAACUGGGCAGGACC
This 194-nucleotide ribosomal RNA is filed under the name Babesia ovis. RNAcentral's name for it is "partial 18S ribosomal RNA". It matches the Rfam family "Eukaryotic small subunit ribosomal RNA", at positions 564 to 829 of the family's 1831-position model. The record is from RNAcentral. Lineage: Eukaryota; Apicomplexa; Aconoidasida; Piroplasmida; Babesiidae.